This 300-nucleotide ribosomal RNA is filed under the name Klebsiella pneumoniae. RNAcentral's name for it is "bacterial LSU rRNA". It matches the Rfam family "Bacterial large subunit ribosomal RNA", at positions 2631 to 2925 of the family's 2925-position model. Lineage: Bacteria; Pseudomonadati; Pseudomonadota; Gammaproteobacteria; Enterobacterales; Enterobacteriaceae. The record is from RNAcentral.
UCGGUCCCUGUCUGCCGUGGGCGCUGGAGAAUUGAGGGGGGCUGCUCCUAGUACGAGAGGACCGGAGUGGACGCAUCACUGGUGUUCGGGUUGUCAUGCCAAUGGCACUGCCCGGUAGCUAAAUGCGGAAGAGAUAAGUGCUGAAAGCAUCUAAGCACGAAACUUGCCCCGAGAUGAGUUCUCCCUGAGACUUUAAGUCUCCUGAAGGAACGUUGAAGACGACGACGUUGAUAGGCCGGGUGUGUAAGCGCAGCGAUGCGUUGAGCUAACCGGUACUAAUGAACCGUGAGGCUUAACCUU